UGCGUAGGCGGAAUAUUAAGUCAGUGGUGAAAUCCUGCGGCUCAACCGUAGAACUGCCAUUGAUACUGAUAUUCUUGAAUGUAGUUGAGGUAGGCGGAAUGUGUAAUGUAGCGGUGAUAUGCUUAGAUAUUACACAGAACACCGAUUGCGAAGGCAGCUUACUAAACUAUGAUUGACGCUGAGGCACGAAAGCGUGGGGAGCGAACAGGAUUAGAUACCCUGGUAGUCC
This 229-nucleotide ribosomal RNA is filed under the name uncultured bacterium. RNAcentral's name for it is "partial 16S ribosomal RNA". It matches the Rfam family "Bacterial small subunit ribosomal RNA", at positions 568 to 796 of the family's 1533-position model. The record is from RNAcentral.